Molecule: unclassified non-coding RNA, 306 nt
Filed under: plant metagenome
Description: partial contains internal transcribed spacer 2 and large subunit ribosomal RNA
Rfam family: 5.8S ribosomal RNA (bases 1-105)
Source: RNAcentral
GAAAUGCAAUAAAUAGUAUAAAUUACAGAAUUUAGUAAAUUAUUAAAUCUUUAAACGCAUAUUACGCCCCUUAGUAUUUUGUAGGGUAUGCCUAUUUAAGCGUUAUCUACACCCUUAAGCUCUAUUUAGUAUUAGGCGUCUGUCCCGCCUUUACGCGUAGACUUGCCCUAAAUAUAUUAGUAGUGGUCUUUAUUCUCUCCCGCGUAGUAUAUUGCGCUUCUCGAGGCUGCAGCGGCCUAUGUCUAAUAAGCUAAACCCCCCUGUCUUUAACCUUAGAUUAGGUAGGGAUACCCGCUGAACUUAAGC